GACGUAGGGCGCGAGCGUUGUCCGGAAUUAUUGGGCGUAAAGAGCUCGUAGGCGGCUUGGAAGGUCAGCUGUGAAAACUCGAGGCUCAACCUCGAGACGUCGGUUGAAACCACCUGGCUAGAGUCCGGAAGAGGAGAGUGGAAUUCCCGGUGUAGCGGUGAAAUGCGCAGAUAUCGGGAAGAACACCCGUGGCGAAGGCGGCUCUCUGGGACGGUACUGACGCUGAGACGCGAAAGCGUGGGGAGCGAACAGG
Molecule: ribosomal RNA, 253 nt
Filed under: uncultured bacterium
Lineage: Bacteria
Description: partial 16S ribosomal RNA
Rfam family: Bacterial small subunit ribosomal RNA
Source: RNAcentral